GACGAACGCUGGCGGCGUGCUUAACACAUGCAAGUCGAACGGAAAGGCCCUGCUUUUGUGGGGUGCUCGAGUGGCGAACGGGUGAGUAACACGUGAGUAACCUGCCCUUGACUUUGGGAUAACUUCAGGAAACUGGGGCUAAUACCGGAUAGGAGCUCCUGCUGCAUGGGGGGGGUUGGAAAGUUUCGGCUGUGGGGGAUGGACUCGCGGCUUAUCAGCUUGUGGGGGGGGUAGUGGCUUACCAAGGCUUUGACGGGUAGCCGGCCUGGGAGGGUGGCCGGCCACAUUGGGACUGCGGUACGGCCCAGACUCCUACGGGAGGCAGCAGUGGGGAAUAUUGCACAAUGGGCGGAAGCCUGAUGCAGCGACGCCGCGUGCGGGAUGACGGCCUUCGAGUUGUAAACCGUUUUCGCCUGUGACGAAGCGUGAGUGACGGUAAUGUGUAAAGAAGCACCGGCUAACUACGUG
This 468-nucleotide ribosomal RNA is filed under the name uncultured bacterium. RNAcentral describes it as "partial 16S ribosomal RNA". It matches the Rfam family "Bacterial small subunit ribosomal RNA", at positions 28 to 507 of the family's 1533-position model. The record is from RNAcentral.